Molecule: ribosomal RNA, 460 nt
Filed under: uncultured bacterium
Lineage: Bacteria
Description: partial 16S ribosomal RNA
Rfam family: Bacterial small subunit ribosomal RNA
Source: RNAcentral
CCUACGGGAGGCAGCAGUGAGGAAUAUUGGUCAAUGGACGAGAGUCUGAACCAGCCAAGUAGCGUGAAGGAUGACUGCCCUAUGGGUUGUAAACUUCUUUUAUAUGGGAAUAAAAUGUUCCACGUGUGGGAUUUUGUAUGUACCAUAUGAAUAAGGAUCGCCUAACUCCGUGCCAGCAGCCGCGGUAAUACGGAGUAUCCGAGCGUUAUCCGUAUUUAUUGGGUUUAAAGGGAGCGUAGGUGGAUUGUUAAGUCAGUUGUGAAAGUUUGCGGCUCAACCGUAAAAUUGCAGUUGAAACUGGCAGUCUUGAGUACAGUAGAGGUGGGCGGAAUUCGUGGUGUAGCGGUGAAAUGCUUAGAUAGCACGAAGAACUCCGAUUGCGAAGGCAGUUCACUGGACUGCAACUGACACUGAGGCUCGAAAGUGUGGGUAUCAAACAGGAUUAGAUACCCCUGUAGUC